This 465-nucleotide ribosomal RNA is filed under the name uncultured Klebsiella sp. RNAcentral describes it as "bacterial SSU rRNA". It matches the Rfam family "Bacterial small subunit ribosomal RNA", at positions 338 to 795 of the family's 1533-position model. Lineage: Bacteria; Pseudomonadati; Pseudomonadota; Gammaproteobacteria; Enterobacterales; Enterobacteriaceae. The record is from RNAcentral.
CCUACGGGAGGCUGCAGUGGGGAAUAUUGCACAAUGGGCGCAAGCCUGAUGCAGCCAUGCCGCGUGUGUGAAGAAGGCCUUCGGGUUGUGAAGCACUUUCAGCGGGGAGGAAGGCGGUGAGGUUAAUAACCUCAUCGAUUGACGUUACCCGCAGAAGAAGCACCGGCUAACUCCGUGCCAGCAGCCGCGGUAAUACGGAGGGUGCAAGCGUUAAUCGGAAUUACUGGGCGUAAAGCGCACGCAGGCGGUCUGUCAAGUCGGAUGUGAAAUCCCCGGGCUCAACCUGGGAACUGCAUUCGAAACUGGCAGGCUAGAGUCCUGUAGAGGGGGGUAGAAUUCCAGGUGUAGCGGUGAAAUGCGUAGAGAUCUGGAGGAAUACCGGUGGCGAAGGCGGCCCCCUGGACAAAGACUGACGCUCAGGUGCGAAAGCGUGGGGAGCAAACAGGAUUAGAUACCCUUGUAGUC